RNAcentral lists this ribosomal RNA (253 nucleotides) under uncultured bacterium. Its description in RNAcentral is "partial 16S ribosomal RNA". It matches the Rfam family "Bacterial small subunit ribosomal RNA", at positions 524 to 776 of the family's 1533-position model. The record is from RNAcentral.
UACGUAGGGGGCUAGCGUUGUCCGGAAUCAUUGGGCGUAAAGCGCGUGUAGGCGGUUCGGUAAGUCCGCUGUGAAAGUCGGGGGCUCAACCCUCGAAUGCCGGUGGAUACUGUCGGACUAGAGUACGGAAGAGGCGAGUGGAAUUCCUGGUGUAGCGGUGAAAUGCGCAGAUAUCAGGAGGAACACCGGUGGCGAAGGCGGAUCUCUGGGCCGAUACUGACGCUGAGGAGCGAAAGCGUGGGGAGCAAACAGG